RNAcentral lists this ribosomal RNA (450 nucleotides) under uncultured bacterium. Its description in RNAcentral is "bacterial SSU rRNA". It matches the Rfam family "Bacterial small subunit ribosomal RNA", at positions 377 to 845 of the family's 1533-position model. The record is from RNAcentral.
GCAAGCCUGACGGAGGGACGCCGCGUGUGGGAUGAAGGCCAUAGGGUGGUAACCCACUGUCGAAGGGGUCGAUAUUGACGGUAGCCUUGGAGGAAGCCCCGGCUGGCUAUGUGCCAGCAGUCGCGAUAUGACGUAGGGGGCAAGCGUUGUCAGGAAUUAUUGGGCGUAGAGCGCUCGUGGUCGGAUCGGAAAGUCUGCGAGGAAAGAUCCGGGCUCAACUCGGGGAACGGCUUGGAUACUUCCGGUCUUGAGGUUGUUAGAGGGUGAUGGAAUUCCCGACGUAGCGGUGAAAUGCGUAGAUAUGGGGAGGAACACCAGUGGGGAAGGCGAUCACUUGGGACAAACCUGGAUGUGAGGAGCGAGAGGUAGGGGAGCAAACGGGCUGAGAUACCCCGGUAGUCCUAACCAUAACCGCUGGAUAGUAGGUGUUGGAGGUAUCGACUCCAACCA